AUGGCUCAGGACGAACGCUGGCGGCGUGCUUAACACAUGCAAGUCGAACGGUGAAGACCAGCUUGCUGGUUGGAUCAGUGGCGAACGGGUGAGUAACACGUGAGCAACCUGCCCUUCACUCUGGGAUAAGCCUUGGAAACGGGGUCUAAUACCGGAUAUGACAUCCUCAUGCAUGCGGGGGUGUGGAAAGAUUUAUCGGUGGGGGAUGGGCUCGCGGCCUAUCAGCUUGUUGGUGGGGUAAUGGCCUACCAAGGCGACGACGGGUAGCCGGCCUGAGAGGGCGACCGGCCACACUGGGACUGAGACACGGCCCAGACUCCUACGGGAGGCAGCAGUGGGGAAUAUUGCACAAUGGGCGCAAGCCUGAUGCAGCGACGCCGCGUGAGGGAUGACGGCCUUCGGGUUGUAAACCUCUUUCAGCAGGGAAGAAGCGAAAGUGACGGUACCUGCAGAAGAAGCGCCGGCUAACUACGUGCCAGCAGCCGCGGUGAUACGUAGGGCGCAAGCGUUGUCCGGAAUUAUUGGGCGUAAAGAGCUCGUAGGCGGUCAGUCGCGUCUGCUGUGAAAACUCGAGGCUCAACCUCGGGCUUGCAGUGGGUACGGGCUGACUAGAGUGCGGUAGGGGUGACUGGAAUUCCUGGUGUAGCGGUGGAAUGCGCAGAUAUCAGGAGGAACACCGAUGGCGAAGGCAGGUCACUGGGCCGCAACUGACGCUGAGGAGCGAAAGCAUGGGGAGCGAACAGGAUUAGAUACCCUGGUAGUCCAUGCCGUAAACGUUGGGCACUAGGUGUGGGGUCCAUUCCACGGAUUCCGUGCCGCAGCUAACGCAUUAAGUGCCCCGC
RNAcentral lists this ribosomal RNA (842 nucleotides) under Cellulomonas persica. RNAcentral describes it as "bacterial SSU rRNA". It matches the Rfam family "Bacterial small subunit ribosomal RNA", at positions 19 to 872 of the family's 1533-position model. Lineage: Bacteria; Bacillati; Actinomycetota; Actinomycetes; Micrococcales; Cellulomonadaceae. The record is from RNAcentral.